RNAcentral lists this long non-coding RNA (1322 nucleotides) under Triticum aestivum (bread wheat). Its description in RNAcentral is "long non-coding RNA (TAES_LNC007795)". Lineage: Eukaryota; Viridiplantae; Streptophyta; Magnoliopsida; Poales; Poaceae. The record is from RNAcentral.
UCAACAGGGCAAUCAAAUGCCCCACACCAUCCUUACACACAUUGUAACAAGAAAUGUAUCCCCACAAAAAAGGAACAAAAGAGAAAAGUACAGACAUUGCGUGGCUCUCACGUCUCAAGCUUAUUCAGACUUACAGACACUAGGAAACAUACAUACAUCACAGUGAAACAUAAUGGCAAAUCUUCCACAGAUAAAGCAAAUAAGCACCGAUUAAGAUGGAAAUACAGGGGAGAAAUCGACUCCAUAUGUAAGCAUCGUUUGUCAAACAAUGUCUUCUCCCGUGGUGGUGCUGACCUGGGAAGUCAAUGGAGCAGAGCAGGCAUUUCCUUGUCCGCUUCGAAGCUCCGUCCUCAGCAGUCUCUCUGGCAAGGUCUCCAUCCCCAUGUUGGACAGAAGGAGCCAGACAUAGGUCAGUAACUCCCCACAGGUCUUAACUUGAUUUGCAUCGAAUGACCUAGUUGCAUCGAAUAUGGCUCAUGUACCUAGGCAGCAACGCUCUAGCUGUAUUUACAGAAGCACGUCUUAACUUGAUUUGCAUCGAAUGACCUAGUUUUCUAUGUUUUUCACAUGUGCAUACCGAUUGAAAGUAGGCGCGCUGGGUAGGGCUUGGUAAGAUUUUACAUGCUUUGGACAAAAACACAGCUGGACUGUUGCUUAAACUCUUACGUGAAUCCCAUUCCCACAAUAUGUUGAAGGCAGGCAAGGGUGGAUGCAGCUCUUACUAGUUACCAAUACCACCCUACCUCUUCUCUUCUUCUUCUUCUCGGAUCACAACCCCAUACCCAAAAACACAACUUGGUCAACUUUAAUUCAACAGAAAAUGCCAAGGAAAAGGAUCACAAUCCAAUCUACUCCAGCCAUCCCUACCAUGGGAAUGCACCGUCAUCCAGCGUCCACUACGCCUACGAGUCGGGAUCAGCAUGGCAAUGCUGAGGCGCUAAUUAAACCCGGCAUGGUUCGCUCACACAUACAUACGGCGAGCUCACACACACACGCACACUAACUUGAUUUUGUGUGUAAAAAGUAACACUAAAACAAAGGGCAGGUUUGGGUUAACAAUGUUUGCAUUGAGGGAGCACGGACAGAGUACCCGCAAAACACAGCGGAGCAGCGCAAGCGUGAGGGGGCGUCCGCGCUCGGUCAGUCAAUGGUCACUGGGUUGCUACUCCAGCUAGAAACGGAUGGGAAUAAACACAAGCACCUGGCGUGCAAGCAGGCGGGCAGAAGCUAACCUGGUGGCACUUCCAAUGGACGAAGGAGAGGUCGCCGGCCAUGCCGCGGGCGCAGUUUACUCGGCCAUACGUCGAUGAGGCCAGCUGCAC